CAGCCGCCGCGGUAAUACGGAGGGUGCGAGCGUUAAUCGGAAUUACUGGGCGUAAAGCGCGCGUAGGCGGUUUGUUAAGUCGGAUGUGAAAUCCCCGGGCUCAACCUGGGAAUUGCCUUCGAUACUGGCCGACUAGAGUACGAGAGAGGGAGGUAGAAUUCCACGUGUAGCGGUGAAAUGCGUAGAUAUGUGGAGGAAUACCGGUGGCGAAGGCGGCCUCCUGGCUCGAUACUGACGCUGAGGUGCGAAAGCGUGGGUAGCAAACAGGAUUAGAUACCCUGGUAGUCCACGCCGUAAACGAUGUCUACUAGCCGUUGGGAGACUUGAUUUCUUAGUGGCGCAGCUAACGCACUAAGUAGACCGCCUGGGGAGUACGGCCGCAAGGUUAAAACUCAAAUGAAUUGACGGGGGCCCGCACAAGCGGUGGAGCAUGUGGUUUAAUUCGAUGCAACGCGAAGAACCUUACCAGGUCUUGACAUCCUCGGAACUUUCCAGAGAUGGAUAGGUGCCUUCGGGAACCGAGAGACAGGUGCUGCAUGGCUGUCGUCAGCUCGUGUCGUGAGAUGUUGGGUUAAGUCCCGUAACGAGCGCAACCCUUGUCCUUAGUUGCCAGCGUGUAAUGGCGGGAACUCUAAGGAGACUGCCGGUGACAAACCGGAGGAAGGUGGGGACGACGUCAAGUCAUCAUGGCCCUUACGACCUGGGCUACACACGUGCUACAAUGGGGCGUACAGAGGGUUGCAACCCCGCGAGGGUGAGCCGAUCCCACAAAACGUUUCGUAGUCCGGAUCGGAGUCUGCAACUCGACUCCGUGAAGUCGGAAUCGCUAGUAAUCGCGGAUCAGAAUGCCGCGGUGAAUACGUUCCCGGGCCUUGUACACACCGCCCGUCACACCAUGGGAGUGGGUUGCUCCAGAAGUGGUUAGCCUAACCUUCGGGAGGGCGAUCACCACGGAGUGAUUCAUGACUGGGGUGAAGUCGUAACAAGGUAGCCGUA
RNAcentral lists this ribosomal RNA (996 nucleotides) under uncultured Gammaproteobacteria bacterium. RNAcentral describes it as "bacterial SSU rRNA". It matches the Rfam family "Bacterial small subunit ribosomal RNA", at positions 509 to 1504 of the family's 1533-position model. The record is from RNAcentral. Lineage: Bacteria; Pseudomonadati; Pseudomonadota; Gammaproteobacteria.